Molecule: ribosomal RNA, 805 nt
Filed under: uncultured Bacteroidota bacterium
Lineage: Bacteria; Pseudomonadati; Bacteroidota
Description: bacterial SSU rRNA
Rfam family: Bacterial small subunit ribosomal RNA
Source: RNAcentral
AGGAGAGUUUGAUCCUGGCUCAGGAUGAACGCUAGCUACAGGCUUAACACAUGCAAGUCGAGGGGCAGCAUGAUCGAAGCUUGCUUUGAUUGAUGGCGACCGGCGCACGGGUGAGUAACGCGUAUCCAACCUUCCCUAUAGUAGAGGAUAGCCCGGCGAAAGUCGGAUUAAUACUCUAUGUUUUCCAAUGCAGACAUCUAAGUUGGAACAAAGGUUCACCGCUAUAGGAUGGGGAUGCGUCUGAUUAGGUUGUUGGCGGGGUAACGGCCCACCAAGCCAACGAUCAGUAGGGGUUCUGAGAGGAAGGUCCCCCACAUUGGAACUGAGACACGGUCCAAACUCCUACGGGAGGCAGCAGUGAGGAAUAUUGGUCAAUGGGCGAGAGCCUGAACCAGCCAAGUAGCGUGCAGGAUGACGGCCCUAUGGGUUGUAAACUGCUUUUAUACGGGGAUAAAGUGAGGGACGUGUCCCUUAUUGUAGGUACCGUAUGAAUAAGGACCGGCUAAUUCCGUGCCAGCAGCCGCGGUAAUACGGAAGGUCCGGGCGUUAUCCGGAUUUAUUGGGUUUAAAGGGAGCGCAGGCCGACUGGUAAGCGUGACGUGAAAUGUAGCCGCUCAACGGCUGAACUGCGUCGCGAACUGUCAGUCUUGAGUGAGUUCGAUGUUGGCGGAAUUCGUGGUGUAGCGGUGAAAUGCUUAGAUAUCACGAAGAACUCCGAUUGCGAAGGCAGCCAACAAGGCCUUUACUGACGCUAAAGCUCGAAGGUGCGGGUAUCGAACAGGAUUAGAUACCCUGGUAGUCCCCU